RNAcentral lists this ribosomal RNA (253 nucleotides) under uncultured bacterium. RNAcentral describes it as "partial 16S ribosomal RNA". It matches the Rfam family "Bacterial small subunit ribosomal RNA", at positions 524 to 776 of the family's 1533-position model. The record is from RNAcentral.
UACGUAGGGUGCGAGCGUUGUCCGGAAUUAUUGGGCGUAAAGGGCUCGUAGGCGGUCUGUCGCGUCGGGAGUGAAAACUCAGGGCUUAACCCUGAGCCUGCUUCCGAUACGGGCAGACUAGAGGUAUGCAGGGGAGAACGGAAUUCCUGGUGUAGCGGUGGAAUGCGCAGAUAUCAGGAGGAACACCGGUGGCGAAGGCGGUGGUCUGGGCCGGCACUGACGCUGAGGAGCGAAAGCGUGGGGAGCAAACAGG